AUUGAACGCUGGCGGCAUGCCUAACACAUGCAAGUCGAACGGCAGCGCGGGCUUCGGCCUGGCGGCGAGUGGCGGACGGGUGAGUAAUGCAUAGGAAUCUGCCCAGUAGCGGGGGACAACCUGGGGAAACUCAGGCUAAUACCGCAUACGCCCUACGGGGGAAAGCGGGGGACCUUCGGGCCUCGCACUAUUGGAUGAGCCUAUGUCAGAUUAGCUUGUUGGUGGGGUAAAAGCCUACCAAGGCGACGAUCUGUAGCUGGUCUGAGAGGACGAUCAGCCACACUGGGACUGAGACACGGCCCAGACUCCUACGGGAGGCAGCAGUGGGGAAUAUUGCACAAUGGGCGAAAGCCUGAUGCAGCAAUGCCGCGUGUGUGAAGAAGGCCUGCGGGUUGUAAAGCACUUUCAGUAGGGAGGAAACAGUAACGGAACAAUACCCGUUGCCU
RNAcentral lists this ribosomal RNA (446 nucleotides) under uncultured Gammaproteobacteria bacterium. Its description in RNAcentral is "bacterial SSU rRNA". It matches the Rfam family "Bacterial small subunit ribosomal RNA", at positions 29 to 480 of the family's 1533-position model. The record is from RNAcentral. Lineage: Bacteria; Pseudomonadati; Pseudomonadota; Gammaproteobacteria.